CAGCAGCCGCGGUAACACGAAGGGGGCUAGCGUUGCUCGGAAUCACUGGGCGUAAAGGGAGCGUAGGCGGACUGUUUAGUCAGAGGUGAAAGCCCAGGGCUCAACCUUGGAAUUGCCUUUGAUACUGGCAGUCUUGAGUACGGAAGAGGUAUGUGGAACUCCGAGUGUAGAGGUGAAACUCGUAGAUAUUCGGAAGAACACCAGUGGCGAAGGCGACAUACUGGUCCGUUACUGACGCUGAGGCUCGAAAGCGUGGGGAGCAAACAGGAUUAGAUACCCCCGUAGUCCCUGUCUCUUAUAC
RNAcentral lists this ribosomal RNA (301 nucleotides) under uncultured bacterium. RNAcentral's name for it is "partial 16S ribosomal RNA". It matches the Rfam family "Bacterial small subunit ribosomal RNA", at positions 509 to 807 of the family's 1533-position model. The record is from RNAcentral.